CAGUCGCCACGGGAAUACGUAGGGUGCAAGCGUUAAUCGGAAUUACUGGGCGUAAAGCGUGCGCAGGCGGUUUGUUAAGACAGAUGUGAAAUCCCCGGGCCCAACCUGGGAACUGCAUUUGUGACUGGCAAGCUAGAGUGUGGCAGAGGGGGGUGGAAUUCCGCGUGUAGCAGUGAAAUGCGUAGAUAUGCGGAGGAACACCGAUGGCGAAGGCAGCCCCCUGGGCCAACGCUGACGCUCGUGCACGAAAGCGUGGGGAGCAAACAGGAUUAGAGACCCGGGUAGUCCCUGUCUCUUAUAC
This 301-nucleotide ribosomal RNA is filed under the name uncultured bacterium. RNAcentral's name for it is "partial 16S ribosomal RNA". It matches the Rfam family "Bacterial small subunit ribosomal RNA", at positions 509 to 807 of the family's 1533-position model. The record is from RNAcentral.